GACGAACGCUGGCGGCGUGCUUAACACAUGCAAGUCGAACGGUAAGGCCCUUCGGGGUACACGAGUGGCGAACGGGUGAGUAACACGUGGGUGAUCUGCCCUGCACUUCGGGAUAAGCCUGGGAAACUGGGUCUAAUACCGGAUAGGACCACUGCCUGCAUGGGUGGUGGUGGAAAGCUUUUGCGGUGUGGGAUGGGCCCGCGGCCUAUCAGCUUGUUGGUGGGGUGAUGGCCUACCAAGGCGACGGCGGGUAGCCGGCCUGAGAGGGUGACCGGCCAUACUGGGACUGAGAUACGGCCCAGACCCCUACGGGAGGCAGCAGUGGGGAAUAUUGCACAAUGGGCGCAAGCCUGAUGCAGCGACGCCGCGUGAGGGAUGACGGCCUUCGGGUUGUAAACCUCUUUCAGCACCGACGAAGCGCAAGUGACGGUAGGUGCAGAAGAAGGACCGGCCAACUACGUGCCAGCCGCCGCCGUAA
RNAcentral lists this ribosomal RNA (478 nucleotides) under uncultured bacterium. RNAcentral describes it as "partial 16S ribosomal RNA". It matches the Rfam family "Bacterial small subunit ribosomal RNA", at positions 28 to 523 of the family's 1533-position model. The record is from RNAcentral.